Molecule: ribosomal RNA, 688 nt
Filed under: uncultured Planctomycetota bacterium
Lineage: Bacteria; Pseudomonadati; Planctomycetota
Description: bacterial SSU rRNA
Rfam family: Bacterial small subunit ribosomal RNA
Source: RNAcentral
CAAGUCGAACGAAUCCCACCUGGGCAACUGGGGUGGGGGAAGUGGCGAAAGGGGCAGUAAGGCGUGGGUAACCUACCCCGGGGAUCGGGAUAGCCAUCCUAACGGAUGGGUAAUACCGGGCGAUGUAGCGGCGGGGCAUCUCGUUGCUACGAAAUGAGUUUCGCCUCGGGAGGGGCUCACGUAGUAUUAGCUUGUUGGUGAGGUAACAGCUCACCAAGGCCAAGAUGCUUAGCGGGUGUGAGAGCACGACCCGCGCCACUGGCACUGAGACACUGGCCAGACUCCUACGGGAGGCUGCAGUCGAGGAUCUUCGGCAAUGGGCGCAAGCCUGACCGAGCGACGCCGCGUGUGCGAUGAAGGCCUUCGGGUUGUAAAGCACUGUCGAGGGGGAGAAAAGCCCGCAAGGGUCUGAUCUAUCCCUGGAGGAAGCACGGGCUAAGUUCGUGCCANCAGCCGCGGUAAGACGAACCGUGCAAACGUUGUUCGGAUUCACUGGGCUUAAAGGGCGCGUAGGCGGGCGGUCGAGUCCGGGGUGAAAUCUUUCAGCUCAACUGGAAAAGUGCCUCGGAUACCGGCCAUCUCGAGGGAGGUAGGGGCAUGCGGAACUUCCGGUGGAGCGGUGAAAUGCGUAGAUAUCGGAAGGAACGCCGGUGGCGAAAGCGGCGUGCUGGACCUCUUCUGACGCUGA